Molecule: ribosomal RNA, 935 nt
Filed under: uncultured archaeon
Lineage: Archaea
Description: bacterial SSU rRNA
Rfam family: Archaeal small subunit ribosomal RNA
Source: RNAcentral
CUCCGGUGAUCCCUGCCGGACCCGACUGCUAUCGGAUUGAGAUUUAGCCAUGCGAGUUGAACGUCUUCUGACUGCAGGAGGCGUAGCAUACGGCUCAGUAACACGUAGUCAACCUGCCCUGGAGACGCGGAUAACCCCGGGAAACUGGGAUUAAUCCACGAUAGGUCACCUCAUCUGGAAGGAGAGAUGGCCCAAAGGGGAAUUGUGAGCAUGUUUCACUACUCUCGCUCCAGGAUGGGACUGCGGCCGAUCAGGCUGUUGGCGGGGUAAAGGCCCACCAAACCUGUAACCGGUACGGGCUUUGAGAGAAGGAGCCCGGAGAUGGACACUGAGACAAGGGUCCAGGUCCUACGGGGCGCAGCAGGCGCGAAACCUUCGCAAUGCGCGAAAGCGUGACGAGGUUAAUCCGAGUGGCUUCCGCUGAGGAAGUCUUUUGCCGACUCUAAAAAGGUCGGAGAAUAAGGGGAGGGCAAGUCUGGUGUCAGCCGCCGCGGUAAUACCAGCUCCUCGAGUGGUCGGGGCGAUUAUUGGGCCUAAAGCAUCCGUAGCCGGUUCCGUAGGUCUCCUGCAAAAUCCAGUCGCUCAACGAUUGGUCCGCAAGAGAUACCGCGGGACUAGGAGGCGGGAGAGGUGGACGGUACUCCACGUGUAGGGGUAAAAUCCUUUGAUCCGUGGAAGACCACCAGAUUGCUUGCGGUUAAUGACCACAAGCACGGUGAAUGGCGAAGGCGGUCCACCAGAACGCGCUCGACGGUGAGGGAUGAAAGCUGGGGGAGCGAACCGGAUUAGAUACCCGGGUAGUCCCAGCCGUAAACGAUGCGAGCUAGAUGAUCCAGUCGCAAAUCGCGACUGGAGUGUCGCAGGGAAGCCGUUAAGCUCGCCGCCUGGGGAGUACGGUCGCAAGACUGAAACUUAAAGGAAUUGGCGGGGGAGCA